UACAGGGGGGGCAAGCGUUGUUCGGAAUUACUGGGCGUAAAGGGCUCGUAGGUGGCCAACUAAGUCAGACGUGAAAUCCCUCAGCUUAACUGGGGAACUGCGUCUGAUACUGGAUGGCUUGAGUUUGGGAGAGGGAUGCGGAAUUCCUGGUGUAGCGGUGAAAUGCGCAGAUAUCAGGAGGAACACCAAUGGCGAAGGCAGCUCGCUGGGACGGUACUGACGCUGAGACGCGAAAGCGUGGGGAGCAAACAGG
Molecule: ribosomal RNA, 253 nt
Filed under: uncultured bacterium
Lineage: Bacteria
Description: partial 16S ribosomal RNA
Rfam family: Bacterial small subunit ribosomal RNA
Source: RNAcentral